GGGGGCGGGGUGUCAGGUGCUCUGCUCAAGGCCGCCUAGCUCCCUCCCUGCAUCCUCGUUUGCUCACUGCUGUUUCUGAGUGUGUCACAGUUCCAGCUGUGUUCUGUGGUGGACAACAGUGUGUGACAGCCUUAUGGCCACAACAUCUUUGGGAAAGUCUGUUAUGUACAACUGCUUUGUGUUAGUGGUGCUUUACGACGGAGAGGAGACAGGCGAUGUCUGUGCUUUGCUUGUGUCUCAAGUGGGAGGAAAGAGAUGGAGCAGGAAGCUGCGUGUGAAAGCUGCCAGUGAUGGAUGCACCACAGGCACCAUAGAGACUGGCAAAGGCAAGAGGCCUCUGAAGAGAAAUGGAGCCCAUCACGUCCACAGCCAUCACAGGGGCCUGCGGGAACAGAACAGCAGUUGUUGCCCAGCCCAGUGCCCGGCCCAGCCUGUCUCAGGUGUUCUGUGUUGCCUGGGUCGGUUGAAGAAAGAGGUCAGGUCAAGAUGAAGUUCAAAGGCCUGUGUGUGGCAGCAGGGAGGUCCAGCCGUCAAUGAACUGAACCCUGAACAGCCAUACAAAGACAGCACCCAACCAGGCCCAGACAAGCGCAGUGACUUGGAAGUGAGCCUUCACCUCUAAUCUGGGCAGCGCCCUUGUUGGGAAAUUGCAGACUGUCUCCUGUUUCCAUGGAAAAGAGGUGCCACUGACGCAUGACUCAGUGCCAUUGCAGUCACUGAAGUUCACAUUUUCCAUAUUCUACAGAUGGUCCUGAAUUGCGCUAUAUUUGCAGGAUCCAUGCUCCACUCCUAUAAAAUACUGCAUGGAAUGACUUUUCAAAGUAAGAAGUGAUUUCAAAACAUCAUCCUGAAUAAGG
Molecule: long non-coding RNA, 857 nt
Filed under: Cricetulus griseus (Chinese hamster)
Lineage: Eukaryota; Metazoa; Chordata; Mammalia; Rodentia; Cricetidae
Description: lncRNA (ENSCGRG00015037624.1)
Source: RNAcentral